CAAAUGCAAACAACACGUGGGUGCUGGCACACGUCCAGUGGUAUACCAUGGAGGUAGAGCCAUGUCAGCACACGGUGGUCGCUAAAUCCGUUUAUUUUUGCGACUUUGUGCAUCAUAUCAAGACAACACGUGAGAAAUUAGUGUCUGAGGAAUCGCUGGCACACUUACGUCAAAGAGGUUUGGCGGUGAUGCAUGAGGAGAGUCGAGGAAACAUCGAAGAGUGGCAUGUUAGAGACUCAACUUCAUUAGGGCCAGGCUAGUGGACUAUUCCUCUGAACACAUGGCCCUACUCCUAAACUAGAAACAAGUGGAGGAAGGCUUAAACUUUGGGAUAAAACUCCCCGGCCGCGAACGGUAUCAGCCACAUACAGGUAUUUCUCAGUUGCCUCUUUAAUUCACCCAGCAGUUUAUCAUGUUCAAUUUGCCCAAAUGGCAAAUUCCUGACCAUCAUGCCUGUUGGUGAAUUAUUUGUGAUCUCGAUAACCAUGAUUUUGUUACAACUGUGAUUUGCUCGAGAUCUUCACUGGCAGUGAACAUGUACAGCUCCAGACACCAGCAGUUGUGGUAAUCUCUGACAACGUUAAUUACUGCACACCACAUGAGACAACAUAUCGUACAAGAUGGCAUUUCAGGCAAUUCAUGGUGGAAGACAGCAAUAGGUGGAAAGUCUUGCAGUAGCACCAUGCGAAGGAAAAUAUCUCUUAUGAGUAUGUGUGGUUCUGAAAGGAACCACGAGUAUACUCAAUUUUUUGGCCUGUGUGCACUGUCCGUUGUCAGGAGACUGCAGAGAUGCUGAAGAUGGAGCUGUUUAUAUAAGGUUUGCUUUGAAAUAGAAUGCACCCUAUGCACCUGCAUUGCAUUGGCACACUAUGAUGCUGGACACCACUCCUGCAUACACACCUAGCAGCUGGCAAUCAGAUCAAGCCCCUUAUUGUGACACUAUCUGCUCUUGGAACAUUGAUGGAGGUCCAAGCAAGACGGUCAGAUUGUGGAAUCAAAGAGAAGUUUAAUUCAAGGGGUUAAAGGGUUACAGAAAGAGAAAACAUUUAGUUCGCAGGAAGUAUUUCAAAAUAUUCCAAACAAUUAAUGGGGUAAACAUUUAAUUUCUGAUGUUUUGGAAAUGGUUAUGUAUUCAUUGUUAGUUUGAAAUAUUUCACGUGAACUGAAUGUUUUUUAUUUCUGUAACCCUUAAAAAAAUGGUGAAAACUGCAUGUAUCACUUUGCAAGGACUGACCUUAACCCUAACCUCGCCAGAUGCAGCAUACUGCAGCACAUGUAAAAGUCUGAUGCACUAUAGCCUUGUUCCCAUUGGACUUUAUCUUCUGUGGGCUCGCGGAAACUUACUGUGACAUUCCUUCAUGUCAGUCUACCGCACAUUGCCAUGUGGACUGUUUUUAACCCAAAGGAAUGUUUGUUCUCUGUGUUAGGCCUAAUAAGACCAGCUGAUUACAUUGCCUGCACUGUACAAAUCAUGUUGAAAUUGGCAAAAUCUGACAAAAACAAAGAUAAAAUCAGAGGAAUUUGGCCAAAUCUGCCACAAAGACAACAAACUCGUACGGGAAAAGCCCCGUACGUCAUGUGUGUACAGCUUUAUCCGGACACGCUUCACUGUGUGUGCGCAGCAUGCUGCUGUACUGUUCACACGGAGCUGGAGACUCGGAACCAUACAACCAUUUACUCUGUGUAUAUGUUUAGCGUGGUCACAGUCAAUCUACACUGUAUAGGAACUGUUCCUAUUGGACUUUUUUGCACCUUGCUAACUUACCGUGGCUGCGUGGAAAUCUUCUGCGCCCCUUUUUGGCCCGUUAGUUUUACAUCGCGAUUGCAGUAAGUUGACAGGGACAUUGGUUUACCGUUUGUUCCCAUUUAAUUUUGUAAUUCUACAGGAAAGUCACGGUAAGUUAACCACAAAAGUCCAAUGGGCACACGCUUUUUGAUGCACUGGACAAUCAACAGCUGCCAAACAAACUGGUCAUGUUGAGACAAUGGGAGCUAGUCUCACUGAACACUGCCACUCACGGUUAGAUCUUGUGGUGACUGACAACCACAGACGCCCAGGCUGUUUGGCCUUGGGGAGAGCUGACCUGUAGGAUCUUG
This 2097-nucleotide long non-coding RNA is filed under the name Acanthaster planci (crown-of-thorns starfish). Its description in RNAcentral is "uncharacterized LOC110982978, transcript variant X2". Lineage: Eukaryota; Metazoa; Echinodermata; Asteroidea; Valvatida; Acanthasteridae. The record is from RNAcentral.